Molecule: ribosomal RNA, 402 nt
Filed under: uncultured bacterium
Lineage: Bacteria
Description: partial 16S ribosomal RNA
Rfam family: Bacterial small subunit ribosomal RNA
Source: RNAcentral
AAUAUUGGGCAAUGGGCGAAAGCCUUACCCAGCAACGCCGCGUGAGGGAAGAAGGNUUNNGGAUUNUNAACCUCUGUCCUUGGNNNNNAAGAAAGUGACGGUACCCAGGGAGGAAGCCCCGGCUAACUACGUGCCAGCAGCCGCGGUAAUACGUAGGGGGCGAGCGUUGUCCGGAAUUAUUGGGCGUAAAGGGCGCGUAGACGGCCGGAUAAGUUACUUGUGAAAGCCCGCCUUUCAAGGGCGGAACUGCAAGUAAUACUGUCUGGCUUGAGUGCAGGAGAGGGAAGCGGAAUUCCUAGUGUAGCGGUGAAAUGCGUAGAUAUUAGGAGGAACACCAGUGGCGAAGGCGGCUUUCUGGACUGUAACUGACGUUGAGGCGCGAAAGCGUGGGGAGCAAACAGG